CGACAGCUCAUCACCUCUGGAUUGUCUUUUUGAAUUUGACUGAUACUAUGAGAUGGACUAUCAGCUCUUUCAAGCAUCUACAGUAUCUUCUGCAGCAUCUGUUCAUGGGUGAAAGGACUUUGAACAACACUUUGUUGACUGCUUUGCACUCCAGUAGAAGUCGAGCAAGCAUUAGUUGAUACGCAUUCAUUCUGUCCGACACUGUUUUCAUUAUUGUUGUCAUUUCUUUUGUACCAAGGUGGGUAUCCAUGUUUAGAAUAGCAUUCAUCAAUGGUAUGAUUCAUCUUAUGACAGUGGGAACAUUGUUUCCCAUAGUUGGGGUUUCUCCCUCUCCCUCUUCCUUAAUUUCUGGGGGAUUUCCACGUCCAUAAGUCUUCCAGCCCUGAUUAUUCUUCCACUGGUUUUGUUUCUCAAUGGUGUUGGCAAGGAUCUUGCUGUCAUUUUGACCAGAAUCGUAUUUCCCUUGUCUUUCUUGUUGUAUGAUGAGUGAAAAGACACGAUUAAUGUUGGGUAGGGGCUUCAUAAGCAAUAUCUGGGUUUUAACAGUGUGGUAGCAU
This 557-nucleotide long non-coding RNA is filed under the name Vigna radiata. RNAcentral describes it as "long non-coding RNA (VRAD_LNC007024)". The record is from RNAcentral. Lineage: Eukaryota; Viridiplantae; Streptophyta; Magnoliopsida; Fabales; Fabaceae.